GUCUAUGGCCAAACCACCCUGAGCACACCCGUCAAUCUUGUCUGUCUCAGAAGCCGAGCAGGGUCAGGCUUGGUUGGUACUUGGAUGGGAGAAAGGAAGAAAUAGCUGUGAACC
This 114-nucleotide ribosomal RNA is filed under the name Microcebus murinus (gray mouse lemur). Lineage: Eukaryota; Metazoa; Chordata; Mammalia; Primates; Cheirogaleidae. The record is from RNAcentral.